RNAcentral lists this ribosomal RNA (805 nucleotides) under Pleurocordyceps sinensis. Its description in RNAcentral is "SSU rRNA". It matches the Rfam family "Eukaryotic small subunit ribosomal RNA", at positions 63 to 880 of the family's 1831-position model. Lineage: Eukaryota; Fungi; Ascomycota; Sordariomycetes; Hypocreales; Polycephalomycetaceae. The record is from RNAcentral.
GUAUAAGCAUUAUACGGCGAAACUGCGAAUGGCUCAUUAUAUAAGUUAUCGUUUAUUUGAUAGCACUUUACUACUUGGAUAACCGUGGUAAUUCUAGAGCUAAUACAUGCUAAAAAUCCCGACUUCGGAAGGGAUGUAUUUAUUAGAUUAAAAGCCAAUGCCCUCUGGGCUCUCUGGUGAAUCAUGAUAACUGCUCGAAUCGCAGGGCCUCGUGCCGGCGAUGGUUCAUUCAAAUUUCUUCCCUAUCAACUUUCGAUGUUUGGGUAUUGGCCAAACAUGGUUACAACGGGUAACGGAGGGUUAGGGCUCGACCCCGGAGAAGGAGCCUGAGAAACGGCUACUACAUCCAAGGAAGGCAGCAGGCGCGCAAAUUACCCAAUCCCGACACGGGGAGGUAGUGACAAUAAAUACUGAUACAGGGCUCUUUCGGGUCUUGUAAUUGGAAUGAGUACAAUUUAAAUCCCUUAACAAGGAACAAUUGGAGGGCAAGUCUGGUGCCAGCAGCCGCGGUAAUUCCAGCUCCAAUAGCGUAUAUUAAAGUUGUUGUGGUUAAAAAGCUCGUAGUUGACCCUUGGGCCUGGCUGGCCGGUCCGCCUCACCGCGUGUACUGGUCCGGCCGGGCCUUUCCCUCUGUGGAACCCCAUGCCCUUCACUGGGCGUGGCGGGGAAACAGGACUUUUACUUUGAAAAAAUUAGAGUGCUCCAGGCAGGCCUAUGCUCGAAUACAUUAGCAUGGAAUAAUAGAAUAGGACGUGCGGUUCUAUUUUGUUGGUUUCUAGGACCGCCGUAAUGAUUAAUAGGGACA